Long non-coding RNA from Drosophila ficusphila, 421 nucleotides. RefSeq lists it as uncharacterized. Lineage: Eukaryota; Metazoa; Arthropoda; Insecta; Diptera; Drosophilidae. The record is from RefSeq and is a predicted model, not a curated record. The transcript has 3 exons.
AGUAAAUGUAAUCUAAAUAAUAUACUGAAUUCGUUUAGUUAGAAAUAUAAAAUACCAAUAACAUGGCGUAUAAGAAUGUAAGAAGUGUUUUCAGAGUGGCCGUGCUCUUUGAUUACAAAUAACAGCUGUUAAUAGUUGAUUAGUGAUAAUGCUUUGCGGUGAGUACCUUCUUUGUAGCGGUGUUGAUGGCAGGCCUGGGCAGCAAGACUGGCGUUGAUGAUUUUUCCAUGGCAAGCUUUAAAUGGAAAUUUGAGUGCAGCAACAGUCCAGUGAGAAGGAGCGCAGCCGUCAUCGUUAGGUGCGUCCUAGGAGUAUGCCGAAUUCUUCUUCUGAUGGGGUCGUCCAGGUCCAGAAGGUGCAGAGCAGAGGUGGUGUUUUUUACAGGGCAUAAGGCAAGAACGGGCAGCAGCCACGGCAGCAG